GAUGAACGCUGGCGGCGUGCCUAAUACAUGCAAGUCGAGCGAACAGACGAGAGUGCUUGCACUCUCUGACGUUAGCGGCGGACGGGUGAGUAACACGUGGGUAACCUACCUAUAAGACUGGGAUAACUUCGGGAAACCGGAGCUAGUACCGGAUAAUAUUUAGCUUCGCAUGAAGCAAUAGUGAAAGACGGUUCUGCUGUCACUUAUAGAUGGACCCGCGGUGUAUUAGCUAGUUGGUGAGGUAACGGCUCACCAAGGCAACGAUACAUAGCCGACCUGAGAGGGUGAUCGGCCACACUGGGACUGAGACACGGCCCAGACUCCUACGGGAGGCAGCAGUAGGGAAUCUUCCGCAAAGGACGAAAGUCUGACGGAGCAAUGCCGCGUGAGUGAAGAAGGUUUUCGGAUCGUAAAACUCUGUUGUAAGGGAAGAACAAGUACGUUAGUAACUGAACGUACCUUGACGGUACCUUACCAGAAAGCCACGGCUAACUACGUG
RNAcentral lists this ribosomal RNA (499 nucleotides) under uncultured bacterium. RNAcentral describes it as "partial 16S ribosomal RNA". It matches the Rfam family "Bacterial small subunit ribosomal RNA", at positions 28 to 507 of the family's 1533-position model. The record is from RNAcentral.